UUCAAUAAUAAGUCUCUUUUUGCGAAUAAGUAAGUACCUUUUUAUUCAAAUAAAAUUUUCUAUUUAUGAUUCGUUUGUACUCUAGAAUUUUUAAGGGAAUAGCUAGGCUGCUUCAAUUUCAUUUCCAUUGUAGGUUAAAAUCAUCUUCAAAUAUCUUCCUCGUAUAUUAUUUUCGGAUUUUAUUUUUUAAAAUUUUAUAAUUUAAAUCUUAUUAUUAACCUCAUCAAAAAAAAACCUAUUGGAAUAAUGUUAAUUAGAAAUAAAUCUAAAUGAAUGGAGUUGGAGCAUAUUUGUUAUUAUUUAUUAUUUUGAAGUAGGAGGGGUGUCAUGAAUUUAGAAUGGGAAAGGGAGCCCUAGGAUGCCGAACCAGAAGGAACAGGCCUAAGGUUAUUGGGCUGAUUGAUUGAUGGAGGGUGAGGCGGACCAAGUUAGCAACAUUUAGUAGCGGGCUGAUUCCUACAGCAAGCCCAAGGGACUGAUUUAAUGACUGGAUUGCUGAUGACUCAUUUUCCUCUCAUGCUAGCUGUUAAAAAAGUGAAGUUUGUUACAACAGAAUUUCUAUUAUAUUCUCAAGGCAUGGAAUGAAAUCAGUAGUUUCCCUUUCUCUC
This 608-nucleotide long non-coding RNA is filed under the name Gossypium barbadense (sea-island cotton). RNAcentral describes it as "long non-coding RNA (GBAR_LNC019415)". The record is from RNAcentral. Lineage: Eukaryota; Viridiplantae; Streptophyta; Magnoliopsida; Malvales; Malvaceae.